CCCGUAAUCCGUAGACGAAACUCGCUAUCUCAUCUAUUCAUUAAGAGGUGGACACGUGACUAGCCGGGACCAGAAACCGCUCCAGUUUCUGCGCUCCACUUGACAGUCGCCCUACGGAUAUCCUACAAUUACGAACACCACCUUUGUGUGGCCUGUCAUCUACUCUAAGCGAUGGCCGAUAAACGAGAAGCCUCACGGCGCAUGAGCUCACUUUGCUUGUGAUUUGUUCCUGUCAUCCAUCAUACCGAUCUGCCAUGACAUCAGAUGCAUCGCGGGUUGUCUUUACGACUCCCGGGCCACCUACUCCUCACCACCUCUCGGCAGACAGACAACAGGUUCAAAAACACGAAAGCUGCUUUGUUUUAAACAAGCAGAUUUAUUCGAUAUCACAGUCCACCAGG
Long non-coding RNA from Drosophila miranda, 401 nucleotides. RefSeq lists it as uncharacterized. The transcript has 3 exons. The record is from RefSeq and is a predicted model, not a curated record. Lineage: Eukaryota; Metazoa; Arthropoda; Insecta; Diptera; Drosophilidae.